CCUACGGCAGGCAGCAGUGGGGAAUCUUGGGCAAUGGGCGAAAGCCUGACCCAGCGACGCCGCGUGGGGGAUGAAGGCCCUCGGGUUGUAAACCCCUUUCAGCGGGGACGAAGCGAAAGUGACGGUACCCGCAGAAGAAGCCCCGGCUAACUACGUGCCAGCAGCCGCGGUAAGACGUAGGGGGCGAGCGUUGUCCGGAUUUAUUGGGCGUAAAGCGCGCGCAGGCGGCCCGUUAAGUCGGUUGUGAAAACCCGAGGCUCAACCUCGGGCCUGCAUCCGAUACUGGCGGGCUUGAGGCAGGUAGGGGAGAGUGGAAUUCCCGGUGUAGCGGUGAAAUGCGCAGAUAUCGGGAGGAACACCGGUGGCGAAGGCGGCUCUCUGGGCCUGUCCUGACGCUCAGGCGCGAAAGCUGGGGGAGCGAACAGGAUUAGAUACCCUGGUAGUCCCAGCCGUAAACGAUGGGUGCUAGGUGUGGGGGGAUAUCGACCCCUUCCGUGCCGAAGCUAACGCAU
This 512-nucleotide ribosomal RNA is filed under the name uncultured soil bacterium. RNAcentral's name for it is "bacterial SSU rRNA". It matches the Rfam family "Bacterial small subunit ribosomal RNA", at positions 338 to 860 of the family's 1533-position model. The record is from RNAcentral.